GAUGAACGCUAGCUACAGGCUUAACACAUGCAAGUCGAGGGGCAGCAUUUCAGUUUGCUUGCAAACUGGAGAUGGCGACCGGCGCACGGGUGAGUAACACGUAUCCAACCUGCCGAUAACUCGGGGAUAGCCUUUCGAAAGAAAGAUUAAUACCCGAUAGUAUAAUGAAACCGCAUGGUCUUAUUAUUAAAGAAUUUCGGUUAUCGAUGGGGAUGCGUUCCAUUAGGCAGUUGGUGAGGUAACGGCUCACCAAACCUUCGAUGGAUAGGGGUUCUGAGAGGAAGGUCCCCCACAUUGGAACUGAGACACGGUCCAA
RNAcentral lists this ribosomal RNA (316 nucleotides) under uncultured bacterium. RNAcentral describes it as "bacterial SSU rRNA". It matches the Rfam family "Bacterial small subunit ribosomal RNA", at positions 28 to 334 of the family's 1533-position model. The record is from RNAcentral.